Molecule: ribosomal RNA, 465 nt
Filed under: uncultured bacterium
Lineage: Bacteria
Description: partial 16S ribosomal RNA
Rfam family: Bacterial small subunit ribosomal RNA
Source: RNAcentral
UGGGGAAUAUUGCACAAUGGGCGAAAGCCUGAUGCAGCGACGCCGCGUGAGGGAUGACGGCCUUCGGGUUGUAAACCUCUUUCAGCAGGGAAGAAGCGAAAGUGACGGUACCUGCAGAAGAAGCGCCGGCUAACUACGUGCCAGCAGCCGCGGUAAUACGUAGGGCGCAAGCGUUGUCCGGAAUUAUUGGGCGUAAAGAGCUCGUAGGCGGUUAGUCGCGUCUGCUGUGAAAACUCGAGGCUCAACCUCGGGCUUGCAGUGGGUACGGGCUGACUAGAGUGCGGUAGGGGUGACUGGAAUUCCUGGUGUAGUGGUGGAAUGCGCAGAUAUCAGGAGGAACACCGAUGGCGAAGGCAGGUCACUGGGCCGCAACUGACGCUGAGGAGCGAAAGCAUGGGGAGCGAACAGGAUUAGAUAGCCCUGGUAGUCCAUGCCGUAAACGUUGGGCACUAGGUGUGGGGUCCA